Molecule: ribosomal RNA, 445 nt
Filed under: uncultured bacterium
Lineage: Bacteria
Description: bacterial SSU rRNA
Rfam family: Bacterial small subunit ribosomal RNA
Source: RNAcentral
GUAGGGAAUAUUGGGCAAUGGAGGCAACUCUGACCCAGCCAUGCCGCGUGCAGGAAGACGGUCCUCUGGAUUGUAAACUGCUUUUGAAUGGGAAGAAACGUAGCUUUGCGAAGCUAUUUGACGGUACUAUUAGAAUAAGCACCGGCUAACUCCGUGCCAGCAGCCGCGGUAAUACGGAGGGUGCAAGCGUUAUCCGGAUUUAUUGGGUUUAAAGGGUGCGUAGGCGGCUUUAUAAGUCUGGGGUUAAAGGCGGCAGCUUAACUGUACGCAUGCCCUGGAAACUGUGAAGCUUGAGUGACUUGGAGGUAGCUAGAAUUCCCUGUGUAGCGGUGAAAUGCAUAGAUACGGGGAGGAAUACCGAUUGCGAAGGCAUGUUACUACGAGUAAACUGACGCUGAUGCACGAAAGCGUGGGGAUCAAACAGGAUUAGAAACCCCGGUAGUCC